RNAcentral lists this ribosomal RNA (36 nucleotides) under Cosmocomoidea fasciata. Its description in RNAcentral is "partial 5.8S ribosomal RNA". Lineage: Eukaryota; Metazoa; Arthropoda; Insecta; Hymenoptera; Mymaridae. The record is from RNAcentral.
UUAUGAUUACCCUGAACGGUGGAUCACUCGGCUCGU